GAAACUGAGAAUGCGCAGGCUCUGCACUUUCUCCGUCAUCACCUGUCACCUACUCUAAAAUAUGAGUAUAUGGCUGAGCGCAGUGCUUUUGGCCUUUGGACCGCUCUUAAGCAGCAGUUUGAGCGGUUGAAGUACACUGUGAAGCCACGUGCAGAGGCAGAGUGGAUCCGUCUGAGGUUUGUGGACUUCAAGACGAAGAUUGAGAAAACCCUAUCCACUUUCCACCCCAACGCUGUCUAGUCCUCAUGGAACUACCGCCAGGGGAACUACACGAGGUAUUUAGAGUUGAUUGACGUCCUCCAGGUGGCGGAGGCGCAGGAUGAGGUUCUCAAAAAGAAUUUUGUCGCGCAACCACUUGGGGGGUGUUCACGCCAGGAGGUGAACGCUCUCAAAGUCCGCAAGCCUCAACAGAAGAAGAGGGGACACAAGGCGGCUAAGCAGGACAAGCCGGGCAAGGGAGGGCAGAGGCCUCAGGACUGCUUCCGUUGUGGCUCGGUGGAGCAUUUCUCCCGCCAGUGCCGCGCACCAUCGGAGGUCGUUGAAGCAUACAAGGCUCGGAAGGCGCGUGAGACGCACCUCGCCUUGGUUCAGGAGGGAGCACCACGACCCAUGGCGGCACCCGUGAUGGUCGCUACGCCCCCUACUGCGCCCAUAGAGGCGACCCCCGUGGUGCCCAUCACGACAGCUUUGGCGGUCUCUACCGACGCCCACGUCGCCAUGGAGGUUGACCGCAUGGUCGCCUCGGUGGCGCCGCCACUAGACAUUGAUGCUGCCUCCAAGAUGAUUUCUAAGGAGGAUAAGCUCACUAGUAUGGAGAUUGUGGCGGACUUGAAUGGCUUCUUAACCGAGUCCACUUAG
RNAcentral lists this ribosomal RNA (858 nucleotides) under Triticum aestivum (bread wheat). RNAcentral describes it as "partial small subunit ribosomal RNA". The record is from RNAcentral. Lineage: Eukaryota; Viridiplantae; Streptophyta; Magnoliopsida; Poales; Poaceae.